CAGUCGAACGGGACUAUGCGAGAUGAAGUUUUCGGAUGGAAUUUUGUAUAGUUUAGUGGCGGACGGGUGAGUAACACGUGAGCAACCUGCCUUCGAGAGGGGAAUAACGGCUGGAAACGGUCGCUAAUACCGCAUAACAUACGGGAGGGACAUCCCUUUUGUAUCAAAGAUUUAUCGCUCGAAGAUGGGCUCGCGUCCGAUUAGGUAGUUGGUGAGGUAACGGCCCACCAAGCCGACGAUCGGUAGCCGGACUGAGAGGUUGAACGGCCACAUUGGGACUGAGACACGGCCCAGACUCCUACGGGAGGCAGCAGUGGGGGAUAUUGCACAAUGGGGGAAACCCUGAUGCAGCGACGCCGCGUGUAGGAAGACGGUCCUCUGGAUUGUAAACUACUGUCCCCAGGGACGAAGAUGACGGUACCUGGGGAGGAAGCUCCGGCUAACUACGUGCCAGCAGCCGCGGUAAUACGUAGGGAGCGAGCGUUGUCCGGAAUUACUGGGUGUAAAGGGAGCGUAGGCGGGGAUGCAAGUUGGGUGUUAAAUCUACCGGCUCAACUGGUAGUCGCACUCAAAACUGCAGCUCUUGAGUGAAGUAGAGGCAGGCGGAAUUCCUAGUGUAGCGGUGAAAUGCGUAGAUAUUAGGAGGAACACCAGUGGCGAAGGCGGCCUGCUGGGCUUUUACUGACGCUGAGGCUCGAAAGUGUGGGGAGCAAACAGGAUUAGAUACCCUGGUAGUCCACACCGUANACGAUGAUUACUAGNU
Molecule: ribosomal RNA, 763 nt
Filed under: uncultured bacterium
Lineage: Bacteria
Description: bacterial SSU rRNA
Rfam family: Bacterial small subunit ribosomal RNA
Source: RNAcentral